Xyrauchen texanus (razorback sucker) is the source of this 2657-nucleotide long non-coding RNA. RefSeq lists it as uncharacterized. Lineage: Eukaryota; Metazoa; Chordata; Actinopteri; Cypriniformes; Catostomidae. The record is from RefSeq and is a predicted model, not a curated record. The transcript has 6 exons.
UGUCAGGAGGCAGUUGGGGCUUGUGGUCAGUACCAAUAGCUGAGUGUUUUCCUCUGACUGACCUGUAAAAGACGACAACGCUGUACAGAUUAUGUUGUCUUUGGAAUGGCUGGAGUUUGUAAUAGACUGAAUUGACAAAGAGCUUAAACUAAGACGAGAAGAAAGAACGUCAUAUAGGUUUGGAACGACAAGAGAUGCUCUGGUCUCCAUCCGUGAACAAAUACUGCUGACCUUAACAAUAGAAGAAGAAAAAAUCAAUGUGAAGCAAUGGAAGAAUAUCUUUUGUGUUGUCCAAGCACAUAUGGAUUUGUCUGACUAUAUAAACGGACGUGCUUUGUGUCUUUGAUUAAACAGUCUUCCUCAACUCUGGACAUCCCCUUACUAGAAGUUCCCUACCCACACCAAAGUUGAUCAGUAUUUCGGAUGGCUCGACCCCUGAGACUAAAGAUUGAGAAAAGAUUUGUUUAACUGACUUUCUGACGUUUGUACAUUUAAUUGGUGGUUACUCCCGUGAAGUAGUGGUUAACUCACAAGCACCUCUGCUGUUGCCAGGAGCAUCAAUGUUGCUGAUAGCAAUGUAUUUCUCUGGCUGAAAGAAACUUAUCCUGAUGUCCGGGGAUGAGGAGAGAUUCAAAGUAAGCUGUGAGAAUAAAAGAAGCCAUACACGUUGGGAGCGAUAUGAGGGAGACUGUUCACCUACCGGCAUCUCUUGGAAACCAAAAGCAGAACUAGGGGUUAUUUGCUAAGAGGAAAUCUUCCUCUGUCACCGGCUGUCACUGAAGGAUUGCGGACAUUCCAUUGGCAAAGUAUUAAAGUGUCCUGAUCGAGCUACCCCGCAGAAGACGGGAGAGUCACAUACCAGAUCCUUUGGAUGAUGGUGAAAGAUUGGUAGUGAUGGAAGGAGAGGAGAAAGCGAGGGAUGGGGGGGCACUGCUGUGAGUGGUUCUUUGGCAGUGUCUUAGCUGGUUGUUGUGUGGAGUGAGAACGAUGCAAUCAGCAAGUAUACUGCCGCAGAAACUCGUCACCUUGGAAGGCCCAUCCAUCCGACCUCGCUCACGCAAUCACCCGCCAACACAUGCGCUCAGAGGCUGGAGAGAGACACAGAGAGAUGGAGAGAGGAGAAAACUCAAUCCGUUCAUAUUAUCAGCUCUCUAAAAACAGAGCUUCUCCUCUGCCUUCAUUCAUGCCACUUCAUCUAAUUGUGAGUGUCAGCCUUUGUGUUUUAUUCACCGCUUGUUGAAUAUUUAAAGGGAUAGUACACCCAAAAAUGAAAAACCAUGUUGUUCCAAAUCUGUAUGACUUACUUGCUCCCAUGGAGCACAAAAGUAAAUAAAAGGGAAAGGGUUUGUUACAGUCUCACUUUUAUUAUUAUUAUUAAAUGGAAAAAAGAAGAUACAAUGGAAGUGAAUGGUGACUGAGGCUAUAAUUCUGCCUAACAUUUCCUUUUGUGUUCCACUGAAUGAUGAUGGAACAGAUUAUGACAGAAUUUUGAGGGUGAACUAUUCCUUUAACAACUGACUGAUUUCAUUCAUUUAUAAGUGAAAGAUUGAGUUACACUUUCUGUUUUAUUUGUCAAGUUUUAGUUCUUGUAAUCAAUAGUUGUUUUUAUUCCUUCUGUUAUUCUGUUGAUCAGGGAUGAUGAAGUUACCUGUUAUUAUGAGAAUCAGCUGUCCAUAUUUUGCAGUUUCAGUAUUUCCAUGAAGUAGUGUGUCCUGUUUAUAUCUGGCCUAUACUUAGCUUACAGUCUUGUUGUGAUGCAUUCAUCCUGAACUCUGCUAAUGGAACAAAACAUAUAUUAUCAUCAUGACAAAAAAAAAAAAGAAAACAGAAAAACGUAAAGUAGGCUACUCUUUCCGAUUUGAGCAUGUGUACUGCAUAUAGAAUGUUAGAAGUAUUAAUUAUCUUUUUUAAAUGUGACUGUGUUUUAAUAAUAAUUCAACAUGUAUUAAUUUUGUCUAAAUAAUAACCAUAUUUAUUUUGAAAGGGUCAUUUUUUAUUUUUUAUUUAUCUAUUUGUGGCAUAUGUUUGGUAGUAUGUUUAAAGCAAUAUGUGUGUAUUGUGUGUAUUAAAGUCAAGUUUCAUUUUCAGAGCACUGCAUUAGUGUUGAGUUUCAAUUGUUGAUCAUCAAACAGCAAUAAAUGUUUUUAAAGCUUCAAAUUUUUCAUGCAUAAUUUUCCUUGCAGUUAUGCAGCAAAUUCCAAAGAGUCAGUUGUGUGAUUAAUGCCCCAGACAUAGUCAAAGUAUUCUGAAUUUGAUCUAACUUAUCUCUGAGUCUGGAUUGUAUUAUGUCAGUGGCUCAAGAGUUGCAUUUACAUGUAUUAUCUGUGAUAACAAGAUCAAAACUGAACUUGCCUUGUUAACCAGUCCUUCUGAUCCUCACUGGCACUUACAUAUCAGAAUGCAAAACACGUGUUUUUAUUUGGUCCCUGAUACCUUGCUCUAACUGGUAUAUGUACUCAAAUCUACUCUACGUCAGAUUACGCAACAACAAAUAAUACAAUAAUAUAUACCAGCCACUCUUCACAUUUCAACUACAGUGAUGCUGUCUGCCAAAGGCCUUGUCUUUAUGUUCACACAUUACAACUUUUAGGGUGUAUCUUUACACAUUUCUUGCACAAUUUAGGUUUCUGUUUAAUUACUUAUUAAAAGGUGAAAUU